GCAGCAGUAGCUUAAAUCCCAGAGCGCCGGCCUUGUAAGCCGGACGGUAGGGGUGAAACUCCCCUCUGCUGCU
RNAcentral lists this transfer RNA (73 nucleotides) under Monotaxis grandoculis (humpnose big-eye bream). RNAcentral's name for it is "tRNA-Thr". It matches the Rfam family "tRNA". Rfam says of the family: Transfer RNA (tRNA) molecules are approximately 80 nucleotides in length. Their secondary structure includes four short double-helical elements and three loops (D, anti-codon, and T loops). The record is from RNAcentral. Lineage: Eukaryota; Metazoa; Chordata; Actinopteri; Spariformes; Lethrinidae.